CCCAGUCUCGGGUCACCUCCCUCCACUCCAGGAACAAAAGCGUCCGUGGUCUGUGCCUGGAAGUCUGAGAGGGUCUCCCCGAUGGGGCUGUUCCCGCCCGGACCCUGAGGGAUGAGAGUUGCAGCCUAGAAAACCAGAAAUUUUUCUACUAAGGACGGGGCUGAAUUGGAGGGACUGUGCUGACAAAUCCUCUACUUGAAAAUCCCCCAGCUAAGGAGUAUCUGCCCAAGGUCGCGGCCACCCAGAUGUUCGGUCCCCACUCCUUCCUCCGCUGAAAAGUCGCACCGAUGACUAACGUUGCCUGCCGGCCUGGUGGUUUGAAAACGAAUGCCGGGCAUUGAUGCAAGGAUAUCCUCCCCUACCCCUGGGAUUCUGGUCUAAGCAAAGGAGGCCGAAUGGAGAACUAAGACAAUUAUCUAAGUAAUCUAAAAAGCUCAAAGACAUCCCCAAGCGGACCUUGCUCCAGUGGUCUGUGAUGGCAGCCUAGUGGACAGUUUUCUAGUGGCCCUCUGGGGUUAAUUGCCUUAAUCUUCCACUCUGUCUGCCCCAGCAAAGGGAAAGAUGCUAAAGCAGCUGUGGACUUGCAGCCUCCCUCCUGUGUGUGCAGAGCCCCCAGGAAUCACUGCCCCAGUGCAGCAGGAGAAGCGCCUUCCCUCAUGCCCUAAGCCUGCCUUUUCUGUUGUCCCCCAGCUCCUGGGCCAGGUGGAGCCCCCCCUGAAGCUGGUUUCUACCUGCCCUCGCCUCCCCACUGCAGCCCACAGUUCGGCUUUCAGGGCUGAACCCAGAGCCCAGAGGAUGGAGAAGCCAGAAAGCGGGGAGGUAAGGGAGAGGGCGUCUAGGCACACCACAGAGGUGAUUGGGCUGUGACGGGGACAAUCCGCACAACACGAGCUAAGCUCACACCCCUAGGGAGUGAUUUUUCCGGACUGCCCCCAUCCCAAUCUCCACCUCCUCUGCUUUACUUGAAAAAGAAAAAGAAAAAAGAGAGCUCCUUCUGGCUCCUGGUGACCCAUAUUUAGGACACCAUCCCAUCCCCCAGCACACACAUUCCUACAGUGUCACCUGGUCCCCAAUCCGAGCAUUUCCUGGAGUGCUCGCCACAUUCCCCUUCCUGGUGCUUUUCUAUGGUGGGGCCAGGGGAGGCCUUGUUUUGAACAUCGCUGUGACGUCACUCCCCCUCCUCCGAGCUAAGCACCCCUCGGUGGGCCCUGGGAAUUGUUGCCCGGCCUGCUGGGGAGGGGCGGAGUGUGGGCCCAGGGAGGGUUCCACCAAACAUCCAUUACCGCUGUCGCCUGCGGGGCCUUCAGGCUGCAAGUACGUGAGGUGUCAGAAAAGAAGCCGAAGGGUUCCCGUGGGGGCUCUUCUGCCAAAUGAGUCAAGAGAUGUGCGGAAGCGGAUGAUUGAAGUACCCCGUGGAGUAGCAGAAAGGGGCAUCAAAAACUGUAACCUGAAAAUAAAAGCUUUAACCUG
Molecule: long non-coding RNA, 1470 nt
Filed under: Homo sapiens (human)
Lineage: Eukaryota; Metazoa; Chordata; Mammalia; Primates; Hominidae
Description: non-protein coding FOXCUT:7
Source: RNAcentral